UGUGUGCAGGUAAUGACUGUAUAACGCCAUCAUGGAACACCAUCACUCCCAAUCUGACCAAGCCUCAUUUUAGGGCAAUGGAACCACGCAGGAAAAGGUGUCAAUGGCAGAUUAUUCAGGCUUGGAAAAUCACCCCUCAUGUUUUUAUUCAUGCCUGCGCCACAAACAACAACAGAAUGUGGUUUUCAGUGUAAAUAUGCUGGAUCGAUAUAGUGCUAGAAUUGUGUAUUGUAUAUGUAUUGUCAUAAUGAGUACAUCAGAGAGGGAAUGCUAUUUUUGACAGGGAUGAUAGAUGGUAGGGACGGGCAUUGGCAGUGGGAAAUACUAACCAUCAAUUAAUUGAUUUCUAUUAUUAAUCAACGUGUUAUAAUAUCACUGGUGCUCUUUCUGAAUGUUUGGAGCUACUGUUUCGAUGCCAGGAGUAUGCGGAGAAUAAUUCUGCCCAAUGAGAUGUAGGCUUAAAACGGACAACAUGUUUCUUCUUUAGACAGCAAACUAGUUGGGACUGAAUCAAGAGGACCUCGCUAGUUGGAGCCAAGCCAUGUAAUACGUUUUGCCUCAAUCGCUUCCGGACACGUCACAUGCGGUGUAGGGGCUCACUUGCCUUACUUCCAGUCAGGCAGUGUAGAUUCAUUUCCCGCUCAGUGACUCAGUAAAGUGGGUGUAUAUAAUGGGGUUCAAAUAGAUUUGGAUUUUCUGUUAUAGUUAGUUUUCAUUUCCUUUGGACUUUUGUUUUUCAAGUUUGGUUAGAUUUGAUUUGUUUUUAGAGCAGGUUUUCUAGUUUUUAUUGUUUUGAAAAUGCUUAGAACUCCUUUUUUUUUUUUUUAAAUUAGGUUUAGUUUCUUUAAUAGUGGGUUUUUGUCUGGUACAAGAUUAAAAUAGGUCACAAUAAGUACUGUGUAAUACCAACUCAACAAAAGAUUAUUAUAAUUGAUUAUUACCGAGAUCAUAAAAGCCGCAUUCCGCUUGGCCGGCCGGUACCCAUCAGCUGCCUCAGGAGUGCCACAAGCCAAAAAGACCCGAUAGGACUCCUUCUUCAGCUUGACGGAAUCCCCCACCGUUGGUGUCCACCAAUGGGUUCGGGGAUUGCCGCCACGACAGGCACCGAUAUCUUACGGCCACAACUCUGGUCGGCCGCCUCAGCAAUGGAGGCACGGAACAUGGUCCACUCAGACUCAAUUUCCCCCGCCUCCCCCAGGACGUGGGUGAAGUUCUGCCGGAGGUGUGAGGUGCAACUCCUUCUGACAGGGGAUUCUGCCAGACGUACCCAGCAGACUCUCACGAUACAUUUGGGCCUGCCAGGUCGGCCGGCAUCUUUUUACAUUUUUUUUUUAUCUUCAUAGGGGUUUUUGGGGCUGUGCUUUGUAUGGUCCCUCGCCUAGGACCUGUUUUCCAUGGGUGACCCUGCUAGGGGCAUAAAGCCCCAGACAACUUAGCUCCUAGGAUCAUUGGGACCAAAAGCUUAUGUAUAAAAUUAAUUGACAAAGACAAAAACAAAGGACCAUUUUGGUAUAAUUAUAGUUGGGUCUCCGGGCAAGUGGCGGGGCACACCGCGAACUAGUCGCCAACCAAUCGCAGUAGUUAUUGUUUUGUUUUUUGUUUUGUUUUUAAAAAAAAACACAUUUACUCAAUGACAUUUUGUUUUCAAGUUUAGCUUUCAUCAUUUUGUUCAUUUUUGUUGUUGUUUUGCUGUCGUUGACAGGGCAAGUUAUAGUGACCAGUCCAGGGUGCAUUCUGCCUGUCACCAGGCUGGAAUAGGCUACAGUCCCUUGCGACCCUGAACAGGAUAAGCAGUAUAGAAAAUGGAUGGAAACAAUGAAUUGACAAUAAUGUCCAGCCCUUAAUUCAUAUGAGCAGAAAUUAAGUGGAUUAUGUGUUUAUAUAAAUGAAAAGAGUUCAUACGGAGGAUGAGUAUGUUCAUGUAACUUGCUGCUCGCCAUUUCAGUGGCUCCGAAGGCAACACCUUGCAUCCUUCACAGUGUAAUGGUAUCUCCAUGGCCCAGUCCGGCUCUAAUCACUAGCCCUUCCUGCUGGGCCGGUGUCAUAUCUUGCCGAGCCCGCUGACGGUAACUAGGAUGAGGUACAUGUACCUCCUGCGGAUUACAUGGCUGCUGUCUCCACAGUGACAGAGGCCCUUGCUGAUACAAGCAGAUCUCUGUGUGACUUUAGGUCCUUGACGUGAUGUUUAAAUGGAUGGACUGGCAGAUGGAGAUCAGCGGUAGAGCAUACUAGCGACGCUGAAAGAGCCUUUUCACAUGCAGUCCACACAUUAAAUACACAAUUCCUAAAAACACUUUAGGAGUAUCGAUGGAAGAUAAAAUAAAUACAAAAACAGUGGUUUGUGGAUUCACAACCUGGAGAGCAUCCAGAGGUUCAAGGCAGUGAAUAUUUUUUAGUAAUCCAUGAUUGUUUAAAUUUAGACUGGUGUGUUGUGAAAAUUGAUUGACAGAACAUAUUCCCAAUUUUCACAGCACUGAACAUUUUAAGACUUCUUCUAAACUGAAAAUGUUACAUACAGACCGGAUAAUUUAGUAUUCCGGGUUAAGAGGUCGAGUUUGGUCAUGGAUAUCAUAUUAAUAGUAAAUAAGGUAAAGGUUUCAAGUAACUUACAAAGAUGUUGGUUUUCUAGUAAUUACUAUGGUAGGGCAUCAUAUUGUAACUACAGAGUUUACCAAGGACGAAAUGAUACAACAGUCAUGUGCUGUAAUCAAUAUCUAGGUGUUCCUUGGUUUAUGACACAGCUCUGCUCCUACGACACUGAUGUAAUCCUAUUUUGUACUUAAUAUUGAAGACAUAUAGGGCCUGAUUUACUCAGCUAACAAAUAGUGGGCGCUAAAUUGCAUGUUUGCUUGAACAGACUGCACACGCUGAUGGUGGGCCUGUUGCGCGUGAUCUUCCAAGAUCACAUUUGUUAUACUAAGAUACCAAAAUGUGAGUGCUAAAUUGCACGUGAACUCACUCUAAAAGAUUGCGCACGCUGUUGUUGCGCAACAGAUGCAAAAGUUGUGGAGACCGCCAUAUCUCGAAGAGAGAUUUACGCUUCAGGUAGCUCUGAUGGUUUUUACCUUGGCAAGCCGCAAAAAAUAUUUAUAGACACAAAAUCCGCCCAUUACAAAACAUUAGUGAAGUCAUAAUUAAAGUACAUGCAGUAUUUGUUGAAAACCCCUUCCACAGUAGGCUGAAUAAUCAAAUAAAAAAGUCACAAAAAAGAGAACAUUCCUUGACUUCACUUCUUCAUUUGGCUUUCCCACUUGAGGAGACAAUUUAUUUGUGCACCCUUCUUAACCACGAAACAAUGUAAGUUGUAAAUACCCCCUGUAUUGCAAGAAAAUAAAUACAUUUUACUCUGCUGUCUGCAACCAGGUUGGCAUUGCAAAUAGUUUACCUGGAUAAUGUUCAAUAAAUAAAUAAAAAAUACAUGACUUCAUGGACAGCUAUUAGUCAGUUUUUAAAUACAGCAGUCUGAAGUAUUUGCUGUCUGUAAAUGUGCUUGCGUAAAAAAAUAAAAACAGACUGUGGAUUGCAAAUAUUUAUUUGUCAAUGGAAGUUUUUUAUUUUUUUAUGACCCCGGGACCGACUGGAUUGGACCAUCAGAGUGUCCCCGCCGGCCAGCCUCACGCUGGUGUUCAUCUCCUCUGGUUGGCCAAGGAAAACGCACACGCGCGUUGAGGCUCGGACCUUCGUUCCUUAGCGAGACCGAGUCGGCCAGCAGUGGACCUUUCCGCCGGGGCGGUAGUGGAUCUCGCCGCUGAGCCUGUGAUGGCGGAGGACCUCCCGUUGCUGGACUUCACCACUUCAUAACACCCGGCUUUGUGUGAAGCUUUGGACCUUCACCUCGCCACGGUUGUCAUCCAAGCUCUGUUUACCCAACACACAACAACAGAAAGCCCCGAAGCCCAUGACCAACGUAAAUGGGAUGUCAAGUUUCUCUAUCCCAAAGGCCUGAGGUGAUAUUGUGUCAGAGAGUGCUUUAUCUUCCUGUAAAGGAUCCUCGGCAGCUCGGUCAUUGACGUGUGUAUUUUUUUAUUCAUUAUCAUUUUUUUUGCCACUUGCAGUCUCCAUUAUACUUGCCCUCACAAUGAAAAGUGUUCAGUUCUAUAUAUAGUAGGUUAUAAUUAAGGAGUGCUAUGGCAUAAGCAGGCUGAGCUUGACACAAAAUGUUUAGCUAAAGACAAUAUGGACAUUACACACCUCGCUACCGUAUAUAAGGCAGGAGAACCAUGUGCUUUGUUGCACCAAAAAGACCUAGAAAUGAUUUCAUGCGAUAACCUCUCUUUGACUGCUCUGAACUCCCUUUUCCACAACAAUAUUGUAUUAUGCAUAAUAAUGCACCCUGAGUGGUUGUGUACACGGUCAAAGCUCAAGCACACGUUUGGUGACAUCAUGUUGUUAUUUCAGACCUGGAAUGCUUGAGACAAAAUCAACAGCACCUCUGCUGUUUGUGGUUGUUUCACAACAUGAAUUCAUUUUACACAUGGGAUGGGCAGGAGUGCGACGGCCCAGGGAAUUGAGGGUCAAAGACUGCUGGCGGGCGAAAGGUAUUUUUAAACUUUCUUUAUUAGCAGUUCUGUGAAGUACAAUAAGUAUUUGAUCGGUUGACAUGAUUAAAUCAGCAACGAACGCUGCAUAAUCAGCAGAAUUCUUGCUGAUCAAUUUUUUUAAUCAUUAGCAUCGGCAUUAUGUUUACUAAUAAGGAAGUAUCAUGAAGUUCUGUAAAUGUUUUUAUCUUAUUUACCCAUGAAAACUAACACAAAUGAAGAGUUCCUUUUUUUAGGUUAUUUGCAGUUUGAACUCACAUGAUUUUUAUUUUUUCUGUCUUUACCAUUAUGCACUUUUGUCCUUACCGUUAUAAAGUGUAAUUCAAUGGGCCACCAUCAUUUGCUCUGUAAAUAAAGAUUGCCUUUACCAUGCCUAAAAUUUUAAAUCAUCAAUAACUUUUUGAAAAUGGGACUUUUAGCGUGGCUGUUUCAGCAUGGGAGACAUUUCCCCACCUAUAA
This is a long non-coding RNA of Phyllopteryx taeniolatus (common seadragon), 4997 nucleotides long. RefSeq lists it as uncharacterized. The transcript is spliced from 3 exons. The record is from RefSeq and is a predicted model, not a curated record. NCBI's taxonomy places the organism in Eukaryota, Metazoa, Chordata, Actinopteri, Syngnathiformes, Syngnathidae.